AUGCACACACACACACACACACACACAUAUAUAUAUACAAUUUCUCCUGCAAUUUGCAGAUCAUUACAUGCAUGCAUUAGGUGUAAUGGUAUUCUCCUUCGGGAUCUAUGA
Molecule: ribosomal RNA, 111 nt
Filed under: Triticum aestivum (bread wheat)
Lineage: Eukaryota; Viridiplantae; Streptophyta; Magnoliopsida; Poales; Poaceae
Description: partial small subunit ribosomal RNA
Source: RNAcentral